This 250-nucleotide ribosomal RNA is filed under the name uncultured bacterium. RNAcentral describes it as "partial 16S ribosomal RNA". It matches the Rfam family "Bacterial small subunit ribosomal RNA", at positions 524 to 773 of the family's 1533-position model. The record is from RNAcentral. RNAcentral also lists the same sequence under 1 other name.
UACGAAGGGUGCAAGCGUUACUCGGAAUUACUGGGCGUAAAGCGUGCGUAGGUGGUUGUUUAAGUCUGUUGUGAAAGCCCUGGGCUCAACCUGGGAACUGCAGUGGAAACUGGACAACUAGAGUGUGGUAGAGGGUAGCGGAAUUCCCGGUGUAGCAGUGAAAUGCGUAGAGAUCGGGAGGAACAUCCAUGGCGAAGGCAGCUACCUGGACCAACACUGACACUGAGGCACGAAAGCGUGGGGAGCAAAC